AGCGGCGGACGGGUCCCUAAUGCUUAGGAAUCUGCCUAUUAGUGGGGGACAACAUCUCGAAAGGGAUGCUAAUACCGCAUACGUCCUACGGGAGAAAGCAGGGGAUCUUCGGACCUUGCGCUAAUAGAUGAGCCUAAGUCGGAUUAGCUAGUUGGUGGGGUAAAGGCCUACCAAGGCGACGAUCUGUAGCGGGUCUGAGAGGAUGAUCCGCCACACUGGGACUGAGACACGGCCCAGACUCCUACGGGAGGCAGCAGUGGGGAAUAUUGGACAAUGGGCGCAAGCCUGAUCCAGCCAUGCCGCGUGUGUGAAGAAGGCCUUAUGGUUGUAAAGCACUUUAAGCGAGGAGGAGGCUACUUUAGAUAAUACCUAGAGAUAGUGGACGUUACUCGCAGAAUAAGCACCGGCUAACUCUGUGCCAGCAGCCGCGGUAAUACAGAGGGUGCAAGCGUUAAUCGGAUUUACUGGGCGUAAAGCGCGCGUAGGCGGCUAAUUAAGUCAAAUGUGAAAUCCCCGAGCUUAACUUGGGAAUUGCAUUCGAUACUGGUUAGCUAGAGUGUGGGA
This 564-nucleotide ribosomal RNA is filed under the name Acinetobacter sp. Its description in RNAcentral is "bacterial SSU rRNA". It matches the Rfam family "Bacterial small subunit ribosomal RNA", at positions 94 to 653 of the family's 1533-position model. The record is from RNAcentral. Lineage: Bacteria; Pseudomonadati; Pseudomonadota; Gammaproteobacteria; Moraxellales; Moraxellaceae.